Molecule: long non-coding RNA, 202 nt
Filed under: Gossypium raimondii (Peruvian cotton)
Lineage: Eukaryota; Viridiplantae; Streptophyta; Magnoliopsida; Malvales; Malvaceae
Description: long non-coding RNA (GRAI_LNC000645)
Source: RNAcentral
AGGAAACAAGAUUCGCCGUCGUAGCUUCAUUCUAUUCCACUGCACCGCCAAGGAAGUAAUAUUCGAUGUUGCGGAUUCAAUCUUUUAAAUUGUAAUGUUGGGGAAGUAAGAUUCGCCAUCGUAGCUUCAAUCUGCUCCACUGCACCGCCAGAGAAGUAAGAUUCACCGUUGCGGCUUUAAUAUUUUAAAUUACAAUGUCGAG